GAUGAACGCUGGCGGCGUGCCUAAUACAUGCAAGUCGAGCGAACAGACGAGGAGCUUGCUCCUCUGACGUUAGCGGCGGACGGGUGAGUAACACGUGGAUAACCUACCUAUAAGACUGGGAUAACUUCGGGAAACCGGAGCUAAUACCGGAUAAUAUAUUGAACCGCAUGGUUCAAUAGUGAAAGACGGUUUUGCUGUCACUUGUAGAUGGAUCCGCGCCGCAUUAGCUAGUUGGUAAGGUAACGGCUUACCAAGGCAACGAUGCGUAGCCGACCUGAGAGGGUGAUCGGCCACACUGGAACUGAGCCACGGUCCAGACUCCUACGGGAGGCAGCAGUAGGGAAUCUUCCGCAAUGGGCGAAAGCCUGACGGAGCAACGCCGCGUGAGUGAUGAAGGUCUUCGGAUCGUAAAACUCUGUUAUUAGGGAAGAACAAAUGUGUAAGUAACUAUGCACGUCUUGACGGUACCUAAUCAGAAAGCCACGGCUAACUACGUG
This 497-nucleotide ribosomal RNA is filed under the name uncultured bacterium. RNAcentral's name for it is "partial 16S ribosomal RNA". It matches the Rfam family "Bacterial small subunit ribosomal RNA", at positions 28 to 507 of the family's 1533-position model. The record is from RNAcentral.